RNAcentral lists this ribosomal RNA (431 nucleotides) under uncultured bacterium. Its description in RNAcentral is "bacterial SSU rRNA". It matches the Rfam family "Bacterial small subunit ribosomal RNA", at positions 29 to 506 of the family's 1533-position model. The record is from RNAcentral.
GCGAACGCUGGCGGCAGGCUUAACACAUGCAAGUCGAACGGGCACUUCGGUGUCAGUGGCAGACGGGUGAGUAACGCGUGGGAACGUACCUUUUGGUUCGGAACAACACAGGGAAACUUGUGCUAAUAUCGGAUAAGCCCUUACGGGGAAAGAUUUAUCGCCGAAAGAUCGGCCCGCGUCUGAUUAGCUAGUUGGUAGGGUAAUGGCCUACCAAGGCGACGAUCAGUAGCUGGUCUGAGAGGAUGAUCAGCCACAUUGGGACUGAGACACGGCCCAAACUCCUACGGGAGGCAGCAGUGGGGAAUAUUGGACAAUGGGCGAAAGCCUGAUCCAGCCAUGCCGCGUGAGUGAUGAAGGCCUUAGGGUUGUAAAGCUCUUUUGUGCGGGAAGAUAAUGACGGUACCGCAAGAAUAAGCCCCGGCUAACUUCGU